RNAcentral lists this transfer RNA (87 nucleotides) under Gemmatimonadota bacterium. RNAcentral's name for it is "Gemmatimonadetes bacterium tRNA-Ala". It matches the Rfam family "tRNA". From Rfam's summary of the family: Transfer RNA (tRNA) molecules are approximately 80 nucleotides in length. Their secondary structure includes four short double-helical elements and three loops (D, anti-codon, and T loops). Further hydrogen bonds mediate the characteristic L-shaped molecular structure. tRNAs have two regions of fundamental functional importance: the anti-codon, which is responsible for specific mRNA codon recognition, and the 3' end, to which the tRNAs corresponding amino acid is attached (by aminoacyl-tRNA synthetases). tRNAs cope with the degeneracy of the genetic code in two manners: having more than one tRNA (with a specific anti-codon) for a particular amino acid; and 'wobble' base-pairing, i.e. permitting non-standard base-pairing at the 3rd anti-codon position. The record is from RNAcentral. Lineage: Bacteria; Pseudomonadati; Gemmatimonadota.
GCGGGUGUGGCGGAACUGGCAGACGCAGGGCACUCGCAACGCCCGGGGUCUAGGCCCGUGUGGGUUCGAGUCCCACCACCCGCACCC